AAAAUUUAUAUUUUUUUUUACUUAUAUAUAGCGGUAAAAAAAAAUUGUAUUACGUGUUUGCAUGAAUGUACUUUACCGCCAAAUGUCAUGCUUAGAGUAACUCAUGCAUCGCGACAACGCGUAAAAUAAAGUACCAGGAUAAAUAAAGUAAUAGGAAAAGGUAAUAAAAAGCAGCAUAAUUAAAUGGAAUAAAAGGUAGAAUUGAGAUCAAAAAAAAGCAUUAGGAAAAGACAAGAAAAAUUAGUAUUGGAAAAAAAAAAAAUUACUUUUUGUUUUAAUAAAUCCGAUUUUAAGCAUUAAUUAAGUAAUAAUUAAGAAGAGAGUAUAAAAGAUUAGGUGAUCUUUGGAGGAAUUACGACAAAUUAAGUUGAGAAAACAUUUUUGAAACUCUGAUAAAACGAUCACAUGAAUAUUGUAAAUAAUUAAAUUGAACUAUAAAUAUAAAUAGUGAAAAAAAAGGUGCCUUGCUUCAUAUUACAAUAAAGAAUACUGAUUAAGACAAAAAUUAAUCACUAAAUUCAAUAGAAGAGAG
Molecule: long non-coding RNA, 532 nt
Filed under: Cryptosporidium parvum
Lineage: Eukaryota; Apicomplexa; Conoidasida; Eucoccidiorida; Cryptosporidiidae
Source: RNAcentral